Small nuclear RNA from Ochotona princeps (American pika), 107 nucleotides. The record is from Ensembl. Lineage: Eukaryota; Metazoa; Chordata; Mammalia; Lagomorpha; Ochotonidae.
AUGCUUGCUUCACCAGCACAUACACUAAAAUUGGAACGGUACAGAGAAGAUUAGCAUAGUCCCUGUACAAGGAUGAGAUGCAAAAGAAUGCUACCAUUCACAAAAUU